This 371-nucleotide ribosomal RNA is filed under the name uncultured bacterium. RNAcentral's name for it is "bacterial SSU rRNA". It matches the Rfam family "Bacterial small subunit ribosomal RNA", at positions 524 to 898 of the family's 1533-position model. The record is from RNAcentral.
UACGUAGGGGGCGAGCGUUGUCCGGAUUUACUGGGCGUAAAGGGUGAGUAGGCGGUUGUAUAUGUCAGGUGUAAAAGGCUAUGGCUUAACCAUGGUUAGCACUUGAAACUGUGCAACUUGAGUGCAGGAGAGGUAAGCGGAAUUCCUAGUGUAGCGGUGAAAUGCGUAGAUAUUAGGAGGAACACCAGUGGCGAAGGCGGCUUACUGGACUGUAACUGACGCCGAGUCACGAAAGCGUGGGUAGCAAACAGGAUUAGAUACCCUGGUAGUCCACGCUGUAAACGAUGAGUGCUAGGUGUUGGGUAGCGAUACUCAGUGCCGGAGUAAACACAAUAAGCACUCCGCCUGGGGAGUACGGUCGCAAGACUGAA